Long non-coding RNA from Neodiprion virginianus, 542 nucleotides. RefSeq lists it as uncharacterized. The transcript has 3 exons. NCBI's taxonomy places the organism in Eukaryota, Metazoa, Arthropoda, Insecta, Hymenoptera, Diprionidae. The record is from RefSeq and is a predicted model, not a curated record.
CCGGCUGUCUACGGAUACUAAAGUCCAUAUGGGCGCCACGCUACUCAAACACCGAGCCGAGCAAGAUGGCUGCCGAAACAAGCUGCGCAAUUGGUUGUCCGGGGUCGAGUGGGUUCUCAACCUUAUCGCGCCUCGCCGUGAGCGAUAAGCAUUCGCUGCGUGACAGAUUUGAACUCAGUCUUCACAGCCCCUGCACUGCAAACUGCAAGAGAGACACUGCCAGAGAAAGGGAAUAAAGGUUCACGAACAAGCCAGAGCAACGGACUGAGAAAAGAGACACACUUCCAUUUGAAUCACGCGAUGCAUAGAACUGGAAAAAGACAUUUUUACGUUGCUCACAUAAUGCAGAAAGAUGUGAAGACGCUGGUAUAGGGAAGCCUCACCAGAGGCUAUGGUUGGAAUUUAUGACGUUAUGCCCCGUGCAUGCACAAAGUAUAUACGGAGAACCGGGUUGAAGAUGUGAUGUUCUAUAGAAUACGCUCAGAGUCUGUAUUUACCCUUCAUGAUCAGACAAAAUAAAUACAGAAGAAAGUGAUUCCUAA